This 99-nucleotide microRNA precursor is filed under the name Saimiri boliviensis boliviensis (Bolivian squirrel monkey). RNAcentral describes it as "miRNA (ENSSBOG00000007497.1)". The record is from RNAcentral. Lineage: Eukaryota; Metazoa; Chordata; Mammalia; Primates; Cebidae.
GAGGUGGGAGGAUUGCUUGAGCCCAGGAGGUCAAGGCUGCAGUGAGUUGUGAUUGCACCACUGCAUUCCAGCCUGAGUGACAGAGCAAGACCUUGUCUC